Molecule: ribosomal RNA, 447 nt
Filed under: uncultured bacterium
Lineage: Bacteria
Description: bacterial SSU rRNA
Rfam family: Bacterial small subunit ribosomal RNA
Source: RNAcentral
GGCCAGACUCCUACGGGAGGCAGCAGUGGGGAAUAUUGCACAAUGGGGGAAACCCUGAUGCAGCGACGCCGCGUGAGUGAAGAAGUAAUUCGUUAUGUAAAGCUCUAUCAGCAGGGAAGAAAAUGACGGUACCUGACUAAGAAGCCCCGGCUAACUACGUGCCAGCAGCCGCGGUAAUACGUAGGGGGCAAGCGUUAUCCGGAUUUACUGGGUGUAAAGGGAGCGUAGACGGUCCUGCAAGCCAGAUGUGAAAGCCCGGGGCUCAACCCCGGGACUGCAUUUGGAACUGUAAGGCUAGAGUGUCGGAGAGGCGGGCGGAAUUCCUAGUGUAGCGGUGAAAUGCGUAGAUAUCGCGCAGAACCCCGAUUGCGAAGGCAGCGUACCGGCUCCACACUGACGCUGAGGCACGGAAGCGUGGGUAUCGAACAGGAUUAGAUACCCUAGUAC